UACGUAGGGGGCGAGCGUUGUCCGGAUUUAUUGGGCGUAAAGAGCUCGUAGGCGGUUUGGCAAGUCGGGUGUGAAAACUCCGGGCUCAACUCGGAGACGCCACUCGAUACUGCUAUGACUCGAGUCCGGUAGGGGAGUGCGGAAUUCCUGGUGUAGCGGUGAAAUGCGCAGGUAUCAGGAGGAACACCGGUGGCGAAGGCGGCACUCUGGGCCGGUACUGACGCUGAGGAGCGAAAGCGUGGGGAGCGAACAGG
This 254-nucleotide ribosomal RNA is filed under the name uncultured bacterium. Its description in RNAcentral is "partial 16S ribosomal RNA". It matches the Rfam family "Bacterial small subunit ribosomal RNA", at positions 524 to 776 of the family's 1533-position model. The record is from RNAcentral.